GGGUGGCCUGAAUGCAGUGGUGUUUGCAACUAAUUAAUCACAACCAGUUACAGAUUUCUUUGCUCCUUCUCCAUUCCCACUACUUCACUUGACUAGCCUUAA
Molecule: unclassified non-coding RNA, 102 nt
Organism: Homo sapiens (human)
Lineage: Eukaryota; Metazoa; Chordata; Mammalia; Primates; Hominidae
Rfam family: Y RNA
About the family: Y RNAs are components of the Ro ribonucleoprotein particle (Ro RNP), in association with Ro60 and La proteins. The Y RNAs and Ro60 and La proteins are well conserved, but the function of the Ro RNP is not known. In humans the RNA component can be one of four small RNAs -- hY1, hY3, hY4 and hY5.
Source: Ensembl